CCUACGGGAGGCAGCAGUGAGGAAUAUUGGUCAAUGGGCGAGAGCCUGAACCAGCCAAGUCGCGUGAAGGAUGACGGCCCUCCGGGUUGUAAACUUCUUUUGUCAGGGAGCAAUUUAGUCCACGUGUGGUCUUAGCUAUAGUACCUGCAGACAAAGCAUCGGCUAACUCCGUGCCAGCAGCCGCGGUAAUACGGAGGAUGCGAGCGUUUUCCGGCUUUAUUGGGUUUAAAGGGUGCGUAGGCGGACUAUCAAGUCAGCGGUAAAAAUUCGGGGCUCAACCCCGUCGUGCCGUUGAAACUGAUGGUCUUGAGUGGGAGAGAAGUAGGCGGAAUGCGUGGUGUAGCGGUGAAAUGCAUAGAUAUCACGAAGAACUCCGAUUGCGAAGGCAGCAUACCGGAGCCCAACUGACGCUGAAGCACGAAAGCGUGGGUAUCGAACAGGAUUAGAUACCCGAGUAGUC
This 460-nucleotide ribosomal RNA is filed under the name uncultured bacterium. RNAcentral describes it as "partial 16S ribosomal RNA". It matches the Rfam family "Bacterial small subunit ribosomal RNA", at positions 338 to 795 of the family's 1533-position model. The record is from RNAcentral.